RNAcentral lists this ribosomal RNA (497 nucleotides) under uncultured bacterium. RNAcentral's name for it is "partial 16S ribosomal RNA". It matches the Rfam family "Bacterial small subunit ribosomal RNA", at positions 28 to 507 of the family's 1533-position model. The record is from RNAcentral.
GAUGAACGCUGGCGGCGUGCCUAAUACAUGCAAGUCGAGCGAACAGAUGAGGAGCUUGCUCCUCUGACGUUAGCGGCGGACGGGUGAGUAACACGUGGAUAACCUACCUAUAAGACUGGGAUAACUUCGGGAAACCGGAGCUAAUACCGGAUAAUAUAUUGAACCGCAUGGUUCAAUAGUGAAAGACGGUUUUGCUGUCACUUUUAGAUGGAUCCGCGCUGCAUUAGCUAGUUGGUAAGGUAACGGCUUACCAAGGCAACGAUGCGUAGCCGACCUGAGAGGGUGAUCGGCCACACUGGAGCGGAGACACGGUCCAGACUCCUACGGGAGGCAGCAGUAGGGAAUCUUACGCAAAGGGCGAAAGCCUGACGGAGCAACGCCGCGUGAGUGAUGAAGGUCUUCGGAUCGUAAAACUCUGUUAUUAGGGAAGAACAGAUGUGUAAGUAACUGUGCACGUCUUGACGGUACCUAAUCAGAAAGCCACGGCUAACUACGUG